Cygnus olor (mute swan) is the source of this 586-nucleotide long non-coding RNA. RefSeq lists it as uncharacterized. The record is from RefSeq and is a predicted model, not a curated record. The transcript is spliced from 2 exons. NCBI's taxonomy places the organism in Eukaryota, Metazoa, Chordata, Aves, Anseriformes, Anatidae.
GGUCCCUGGACACUUGGGUCUGUUUUUGGGGGUACGACUGAGGGAAAAAGGGGGUCCCUCAAUCCCUGGAGCCAUUUUCGGGACAGAACUGAGGGAAAAAGGGUGGUCCUUAGACCCUAGGGUGCAUUUUUGGGGCAGAACUGAGAGAAAAAGGGUGGUCCUGAGACCCUUGGGUGCAUUUUUAGGGCAAAACUGAGGGGAAAAGGGGCUUCCUGAGACCUUUGGAUCCAUUUUUGGGGCGGAACUGAGAGGAAAAGGGUGGUCCUGAGACCCUUGGGUCCAUUUUUGGGGCAGAACUGAGGGGAAAAAGGGUGGUUCUGAGACCCUUGGGUGCUCUUUUUGGGCAGAAGUGAUGGGAAAAUGGGGGUCCUGAGACCCUUGGAUCCAUUUUUUGGGUAGAACUGAGGGGAAAAGGGUGGUCCUGAGACCCUCGGGUCCAUUUUUUGGGGCAAAACUGAGGGAAAAAGGGUGGUUCUGAGACCCUUGGGUGCAUUUUUGGGUAGAACUGAGGGGAAAAGGGUGGUCCUAAGACCCUUGGGUGCAUUUUUGGGGCAAAACUGAGAGAAAAAGGGUGGUCCUGAGACAU